Molecule: ribosomal RNA, 402 nt
Filed under: uncultured bacterium
Lineage: Bacteria
Description: bacterial SSU rRNA
Rfam family: Bacterial small subunit ribosomal RNA
Source: RNAcentral
AACGAACGCUGGCGGCGUGCCUAACACAUGCAAGUCGAGGGAGAAAAGGGGCUUCGGCUCCCGAGUAAACCGGCGCACGGGUGAGUAACACGUAGGUAACGUACCUUGGAGUCCGGGAUAACCAGUCGAAAGAUUGGCUAAUACCGGAUACGACUGCAGCAGCUCUGGCUGCAGCAGUGAAAGAUGGCCUCUGUUUACAAGCUAUCACUCCUGGAUCGGCCUGCGCACCAUUAGCUAGUUGGUGAGGUAAUGGCUCACCAAGGCUGAGAUGGUUAGCUGGUCUGAGAGGAUGGCCAGCCACACUGGGACUGAGACACGGCCCAGACUCCUACGGGAGCAGCAGUGGGAAUAUUGCGCAAUGGGCGAAAGCCUGACGCAGCGACGCCGCGUGGGUGAUGAAGG